Molecule: ribosomal RNA, 497 nt
Filed under: uncultured bacterium
Lineage: Bacteria
Description: partial 16S ribosomal RNA
Rfam family: Bacterial small subunit ribosomal RNA
Source: RNAcentral
GAUGAACGCUGGCGGCGUGCCUAAUACAUGCGAGUCGAGCGAACGGACGAGAAGCUUGCUUCUCUGAUGUUAGCGGCGGACGGGUGAGUAACACGUGGAUAACCUACCUAUAAGACUGAGAUAACUUCGGGAAACCGGAGCUAAUACCGGAUAAUAUUUUGAACCGCAUGGUUCAAAAGUGAAAGACGGUCUUGCUGUCACUUAUAGAUGGAUCCGCGCUGCAUUAGCUAGUUGGUAAGGUAACGGCUUACCAAGGCAACGAUGCAUAGCCGACCUGAGAGGGUGAUCGGCCACACUGGAACUGAGACACGGUCCAGACUCCUACGGGAGGCAGCAGUAGGGAAUCUUCCGCAAUGGGCGAAAGCCUGACGGAGCAACGCCGCGUGAGUGAUGAAGGUCUUCGGAUCGUAAAACUCUGUUAUUAGGGAAGAACAUAUGUGUAAGUAACUGUGCACAUCUUGACGGUACCUAAUCAGAAAGCCACGGCUAACUACGUG